AUUGUACAGCAAUCAGAUAAAAACGUUAAAUGAAAAUUUAUUCAAAGGUUUGACUUCUCAAGACUUGACCUUAAACAGCAAUCAAAUUACCACAAAUGACCAAGCUAGAUGGGAAUUUAUUUCAAGGCUUGACUGCUCUUCAACACUUGGAACUGGACGGCAAUCAGAUUACCACAUUAGAAUCGAAUUUAUUCUAAGGCAUACGGCUCCUGAAAUCUUGAAAAACAGAGUCAGCAGUACCGAUGUCACUUAGAACUUAUAGAAAAGUGUGUCUUAGACCAAAAGUUGAUUGCGGGGCGUUUUUAAGAGUAAACACAUAACAAUAUAAAGCUAUUAAUACAUGUCAUCCUUUUAAUUUCCCUUGUAAAUAUAUAUGUGUCAUAUAUACUAGUAUGUGCACGAUUGUAGAUAUUUUAGAAAUAAAAUGUACUGUAUCAUUAAUCUGUGUUCUAGACUAUAUCUUUUUGGACUACAAAAGUUUUCGAAAACAAUUGAUUUUGUGGUUUCAGACAAAACUGGGGUUUUUGUAUUUUAAAAUUCUAAAUGUUUUGUAAAUAUUGGAAUUAUAAUGUCGGUCCGUUAUAAUUUAUUUGAAUACUAUA
Long non-coding RNA from Mytilus californianus (California mussel), 602 nucleotides. RefSeq lists it as uncharacterized. NCBI's taxonomy places the organism in Eukaryota, Metazoa, Mollusca, Bivalvia, Mytilida, Mytilidae. The record is from RefSeq and is a predicted model, not a curated record. The transcript is spliced from 4 exons.